This is a non-coding RNA of Cordylochernes scorpioides, 11929 nucleotides long. NCBI's taxonomy places the organism in Eukaryota, Metazoa, Arthropoda, Arachnida, Pseudoscorpiones, Chernetidae. The record is from the annotation of a GenBank genome assembly.
GAAACAGAGGUAUAGGUCAGGUAGACAUUGUGGAGAGAGUGGUACCUGGAUGAGGGGAACACCUAAAGGACACUAUGGCAACUAGGUGUCUAUGAAGGAGAGGUAAGAGAGGUAUAGGUCAGGUAGACAUUGUGGAGAGAUAGGUACCUGGAUGAGGGGAACACCUAAAGGACACUAUGGCAACUAGGUGUCUAUGAAAGAGAGGUAAGAGAGGUAUAGGUCAGGUAGACAUUGUGGAGAGAUAGGUACCUGGAUGAGGGGAACACCUAAAGGACACUAUGGCAACUAGGUGUCUAUGAAAGAGAGGUAAGAGAGGUAUAGGUCAGGUAGACAUUGUGGAGAGAUAGGUACCUGGAUGAGGGGAACACCUAAAGGACACUAUGGCAACUAGGUGUCUAUGAAAGAGAGGUAUAGGUCAGGUAGAGAUUGUGGAGAGAGUGGUACCUGGAUGAGGGGAACACCUAAAGGACACUAUGGCAACUAGGUGUCUAUGAAAGAGAGGUAUAGGUCAGGUAGAGAUUGUGGAGAGAGUGGUACCUGGAUGAGGGGAACACCUAAAGGACACUAUGGCAACUAGGUGUCCUUGAAACAGAGGUAAGAGAGGUAUAGUUCAGGUAGACAUUGCGGAGAGAGUGGUACCUGGAUGAAGGGGAGCCCACAGAGGUCUGAGAGAUUGGAGGGGGAGGAGGAGAGGCCUGGACUAUCUGGGGCAGAAAACUUGGCCUCAUGCUGCAACACACCCUUUCUCUCCAUCUCUCCAACUAGUGAGAACAUCAACAAAAAAUGGCACAGGUUCUGAAAUUAUCAAUGCUGGAGUGAAAUUUGGAGUUCCCUUUAAAUUACUUCAAACACUAGAGAGAUGACUAUUUUAUUGACAUUCAGUCAACAAUCAGUACACAAGGGGGGUCGGUAGAAGGAUGGUCUAAACCGUUGAUUUUCGACCUGGGUUAAAUUCCCGCAUUGGGCACUAAAAAAAAAAUGCUCAAAUGGCCCCUGAUUCUUGCAAAAGUCCAACCCCACCAGCGAGUACAAGUAGCCAAACGGGGUCUGGCACAUUUGUAAGUGCAAAGUCGAACUGCUUUUCACAUGUGUAGACAUGUGGUGCAUUUACAGUAAAAACAGUCGCCUACUUUUACCCACCAUGAUUAUCAUGGCCUGUACCACGUGUACUAGGGAUAAGCAAAAAAUAAAUAAAUAAAUCAGUACACACACAAAAUUCAACAAAAACAAUUAAAAAUAUUUACACUAGACUGAUGCCUCACUGAAGGGAAGUCUGGGAUUUCUCAGCUUCACAAGCAGCUCUGAAUUUGGCCAGCUUCUGGCUUAUAUAGUGGUUGCUGUUCAAUCAUACUUUUACUACUCAUUCAAUACUUUUUUGUCUGAUAAUGGUAACAACAUUGUUACCGAAACGUCACACACUAUUUAUUUGGAUAUGUUCUUAUUACCUUGUGCAUACAGAACUCUAUUUUUUACGAUAUAAAGACUUUGGUGUUGUACUUAGAAUAAUAUCCCUCCAUCAAUUCCUGUGUUAUCACUACUGAUACUGUCAUGGUGAUUGGUUGCUAUCAUUCAUGACUCAGCAAUUCUCAACCUGCAACCCCAAAACACAUCAUUGACUGUAUUCACUCAUCCAUUGAUGAGCUCUACUCUUCCCCGGCAGACACCAUCAAAAGUCUCAAGCUUUUACAAGCUUGAUACCUUAGUGUAAUUGAGUGGAGAUAAGAAAGAAGAAGAUAUGUCAUAGUGCAGUCCAACACAAAGAGGAAUAUUGGGGACACAGGAUAAGGUGUCCUGCCAUGUUGAUGACCCUCCACAUGUUGACUUCCAUUCACUGCUGCGGUAUCGGAUAACCUUCAGCCCCAUAACAUCCUGUUUACAGCCUGCUGCCAGGCUUCUUCCUGAUUCUGUGCCAUCUUGUCUCAACUGAACACAACCUCCAGGCAAAAAAGCCUGUCUGCACAGCUGUAUUCUUACAUCAUCUCCUGUCAAACUGUCAGAAAGACAGACUGUUUGCUUCACUAAAUCUUAUAAUGGAAUCUAUAUUUUGUAUGGUAAAAAAAUAUCUAAAAAUCUCUUGGAUUAGGUCUUAUUUUCUUGUAUUAUAAUCUAUAAUCCAAAUUGUGCCUUAUCAUAUAAAGGUGAAAAUAUCAAGCUUCCGGGGAUAAGUUUCUUUUAAAACAUUUUAAUUUCAUAAAUCUCUAGCUUUCGGGAACAAAAGCCCUUCUACAGGAGAAAACACACUGCAAUAGAUCACCAAUAGGACAAACUCCGCCUUUGCCGGUCCCAAGCCCGGAUGGAGGAGGGGGAGCCGUAACAAGCUCACUAAAAAACCUGGGCUCAACUGGCCCGGCUGAUAGUACCCUGUAAGGGCUCCUAAUCCAGGGAUACAGGAUGAGCAGCGUUUGUACUCCAUGUUAGGAGCGGCUGCACAUGGCGUCUGUUCCUCAUGUCUUUGGCCAUUUCUUUUAGAGCUAAGUCGGCCUGCCACUGAGUAGUGCUCCCAGUCUUAAUGACAAAGGCAGACACAUUCUACUUCACCCAGUCAUGAUGGAUGUCAAGUCUUAAGUUCUACAAGCUUGAUACCCUAAUAUGAUUGAGUGGAGAUAAGAAAGAAGAAGACCAAUAAGAGUUAAAAUAUGAUCAAAUACAGAGAGAGUGCUUAUAUAGUUAUUUGGAUGGAAAUUUACUGCUGGUCUAUGGUAAGGCUGGGUAUGUUUGAAUCAAUCUGAACACAGAAAAUUGAAGUCUCUGAUACUCCAUAUCAUAGUACACAGUAGUGGGAUUUUUCUAUAUACAGUGUGUAGAACCUCCCUGUAAAGGACAACACCUAAUUGCAAAGCCAAAGUCACCUUUAAGGAAAGGAGUACUCUUACCUGAAAGUUUCUAAAUAGUAAAAAUUGUCAUUUUGCAAAAAUGAAAACUGUCCUUUGUGGAGAGGUAUCCACUAGCCGGGUGUUUACUAAAGGGAGGUUCUACUGUAUACAGAGAGAGAAUACCAAAAACUACCUUUCAAAUAAUUACCUUCACUGUAAUCUUACAGUAGAAUAAAAGAAAAUAAUAAUCCUACAGUAGAAAUUCCAACACGGAUGUGUCAUUUCUAUGGAUAGCACAGGAAAAUGCUGGUGACAGCUAGACUUUGUGUUAGAACUUAUGGGUAGAAUCUGUGAGCUAAGAGAUGUAAAUCUAGUGUUUCCCCUCCAUAGAGGAUGAGAAAGUCUCUAGUCAAAGGACACAGAGGUAACAUUUUAUAAAGGGGAUCUAAAAGCUGGGAUUGUUUCCAACAAAGGGAGUCAACAACAAAGUGGGCAAUAAAGAAGAAUUCUCCAGGAAACAAAGGACAAUUUACAAUGAGGGAAACAAGCCCUUCAAAUAAUAAAGACUUGAUGGCCCAUUGCCAUUGGAGUAAGGUUUCCCAGCUGCUCUGUGAUGGGGACUUGGAAUCUGAGACAGCUGGUGAGGAAACUUUUCAACACACAGCCCUAGGGAUUGCAUGUUUUGGAUGAAUUAAAGUCAGUGUUGAAAUUAAAAGUAAAAAAAUAGGCUAAUUGAUAAGUGAAAAAACUGGUUAAAUUGAAAUAAAUGUUGAAUUAUAGUCAGUGUGUUUUAGCAGAGGCACUGCUGAUAUAUUGUUGACAACCAGGAUCUGGCACACUUGUAAGUGCAAUAGUCAAACCACUUUCUACAUGUGUUUUUUUUUUUUGCUUAUCCCUAGUAUACGUUAUACAGGCCAUGAUAAUCAUGGUGGGUGUUGUAUCUUUUAUACGGGUUCAUUUACCUUUAGCUUUAUAUAUAUUUAAUAUAGUUACAGCCUUUAUGUAUAUAGACAAUUAAUAUACCGCCGUGCUAGAACAAUUAUAUAUUUAUUAUGCGGCGUUGUUUACAUACUGUGUUGCCAGAUCUUUUGUAGCACAGAUUAUAACUAUAUACAACAUGUUCCCCUUUUAAUUAAAGUCCGGGGUCGAAUCUUUUCGGAGGCUUUACCACACGUCCACUUCUAGUGGUGUAGGCAGUGCCUCCUUCAUUGUAGUUUCCUAUGGGAGUUGAAGUGGAUGGGGCCAACUCUUCAGGACUGAGGUUCAGGCGGGGAAAUUCUCCUGGUUCCCUUUGACCACUGGACUCCGAUGAUGUCGAGGGGGCUGGAUCCAAUUGGGGCGAUGACUGGCUGCUCCUUCUCUGUCCAACAGGAUAACUUCUGGGCCGUAGGUGAACUCUGUUCCGUUUUAACAUUCGGCCCUCGUUGUUCUGAAUGAUGUAUGAUCGAGGCUGGUUGGCUUCUCCAAUGAUGGUAGCUGGUCUCCAGGCAUUGCUAGUUUUGGCAUUUACCUGUUCACCAGAACUCAUUUUAGGAAGUAUUUUGGCAUUUCGGUCAUAAUAUUCUUUCAUCUUAUAUUGAUUUUCCCUCUUCUGCUGUAGAAUGUUUUCCGUGCUAAUGAAAGCAGGUUUUAGCUUUGUGGUUUUCAUUGGGAUCAAGGUUCUCAAGUUUCUUCCCAUUAGCAUCUGAGCUGGGGACGGUAGAUUAUUUGACGGAGUUGUUCUCAGGGCUAUUAAACACAUAUAAGGAUCAGUGUUGUCUUGACGGCAUUUCUUAAGUUGCUUCUUUACUGUUUGCACCAUCCUCUCCACUAAUCCGUUUGAUUUUGGGUAUCCUGGGCUAGAGGUUUUAUGUUCUAUGUCCCAUUCAUUUGUAAAAUUAGUAAAGUCUUGUGAUGUAAAUGGUGGUCCAUUAUCAGUGAUGAUGAUCUCUGGAAUCCCAUGUCUUGCGAAGGUAGAUUUCAAAACUGGUAGAAUCUCUUUUGCUGAAGUUGAUGCUACCUUGAUGACUUCAGGAAAGCUGCUGUAGUAGUCUACUAUUAUUAUGAAUACAGAUUGGUCUAGAUAGAAGAAAUCAAUAGCUACUUUUUGCCAAGGGUAGUCUGCUAUUUCGUGAGGUAUAAGUGGUUCUUUCCUUUGCGAAGGUUGUGAUUCUUGACAAAUUCUACACUUAUAAACCAUCUCUUCUAUUUCUCUAUCCAGUCCAGGCCAAUAAAUAGCUUCAUGUGCUCUGUUUUUACAAGCAGAGAUCCCUUGAUGAGACAUGUGUAGUGUUUGCAAGAUGCUUUCCCUUUGGACUUUAGGGAUGACAAGUCUUUGUCCUCUACAAAUCAGGUCUUUCCAUAUAUAUAGUUCUUCUUUACAAUGCCAGUAGGGCUUAACAGCAUAGUCCACACUUUUCUUAUGAAUAGGCCACCCAUUCAGUAUAUGAUCCCUUAAUUUUAUCAUUUCUUCAUCUGACUCCAUAUCUCUGAGAAUUUCCUGGUAUCUUUUAGUGGUCACCUUCAGAUUUAGAGUCAUAAUGGUGUUCUGGAGAUCCAGAUCUGAGGUGUCGAUGGUUUCCUCUGAAAUUGAAUCUCUAGAUAGAGUGUCUGCGGUGUGAAUCACUUUUCCUGGUACGUAUUCUAAAUUAAAAUCAUAUCGCAUCAAUUUCAAGACCAGUCUUUCAAGUCUUGGAGAUAAUUCCUCUAGUGGCUUUUUUAGUAUAGCCAACAAGGGUUUAUGAUCCGUCUGGGCUGUGAACUUUCUUCCAUACAAAUGAUAGUUAAAUCUUUGGCAUCCAUACCAGAGAGCUAAGAGCUCCUUUUCAAUCUGGGCAUAUUUUUUCUGAGUGUUAUUCAAGGAUGCGGAUGCAAAAGCGAUGGGUCUUCCCUCUUGCAUCAAGACAGCCCCAAGCCCAUGUUGACUAGCGUCCACUGAAAGUGUUACCUUCCGAUGGGGGUCAAAGAGGCCAAGAACUGGAGGAUUUGAUACCAAAUUUUUCAGCUCAAUGAAUUCUUUUUCUAUAGCCUCAUUCCAUGUCCACAGGGUAUUCUUUUUUAGGAGUUGUCUUAACAAGACAGUUUUAUCUGCCAGAUUAUGCAUGAAUUUAGCUAGAUAGUUCACAGUUCCCAAAAAUCUUUGAAGAGAUGUCUUGUCCAUUGGUCUUUUUAUUUUUUGUAUUGCUUCUAAUUUAGAUGGAUCUGCAGAGAUGCCAUUCUUGGAUAUCUCAUGUCCAAUGAACUUAACUUUUUCUUGGGCCAGUUGCAUUUUAUUGAAUUCAAACUUUAAAUUAUUUUUUCUAGCAAUUUCCAAAACCGUAAUCAGUCUACUAUUGUGCUCCGUGAGGGAGUUUCCGUAUAUUAUUAUAUCAUCCAUGUAUACUUUUACUCCUUCAAUUCCUGUAAACAUACUUUGCAUUUUUUUAUAGAAAACUUCUGGAGCGCUGCAAAUACCAAAAGGUAACCGAUGGAAUCUGUAAUACCCAUAAGGUGUAGCCAUUGUUAAAAGGCUAGAUGACUUUUCGUCUAACUUGAUUUGCCAAAAGGCUGACUUAGCAUCAAGUACUGUAUAGAUGGGUGAUUUUGUGAUAUCAGCAAUGAUGCCUUCAGGGGCAGGAAGUUGACGAUAUUCCAUUUUAAUCCAUGGAUUUAGCUCUCUAGGGUCCAUACAGAUACGAACCUUUCCAUUUGGUUUCUUAAUGAUUACCAUCGGGUGUGCCCACUCUGCUGGUUGGUCUACCUUUGAGAUGAUCUUUUGUUCCUCCAUCGAUUUUAGCUCCAUCUCAACUGGUUUUUUCAGUGCAAACGGAAUUCGGCGAGCUAACUGAAUUCUUGGAUGUGCAUUUUCUCUCAGGAUCACAGAAUGCUCUCCAGGGAGUGUUCCGAUCUCAUCAAAGACAUCUCUGUAGGACUCUAUUAUCUUUGUAGGUGAAGCAUCCAUCUUUGUCCUAGUAUGGUCCUGUUCCAACGACUCUACUUUUAAUAUCAGCUCUAAUUUUUUACACGCUGCCAAUCCCAAAAUUGGUGGAGCUGGCAAAUCCACGACUAGAAAUUCAAGGAUUUCAGAUUUUUUCCCAGAGGUACAUGAAGCCUUGCAUUUGCCCCUUAUUGGUACUUUUUCUCCUGUAUAUGAAUAAACCGCAAUCCCAGUUGGAUAUAUGCAGGGUUUAUUUUGCCAAUUUUUAAUGGUAUCCAAUGGCAGGAUGUUCACCUGUGCUCCUGUGUCUAAUUUAAAAUUAACUGAAUUAUUCUCCACCAAGAUUAUUUUAGUCCACUCUAGACCAGUAAUGCUAUCUAGGGAUAGGUAUUGAAGACACAUUUCUUCUUCCUCUUCCGCUCUUUCCUCCAACAUAUGCACUCUGUUCCUACACAUUUUAGCAAAAUGGUUUGGUUUUUUACAUGAAUUGCAUAUUUUACCAUAUGCAAAACAUUUACCAUAUGGAUGUCUGGAACCACAAUUUUGGCAAACCUUUGCAUUAGGAUGUUCCUCAGAUACAUUAGGUUUUCUACCAACUGGAUAUUUGAAAUUCUUUUUAUAUUGCUUUUUAUAUUUUAUAGAAUGUAAAUCAACAUCUUCUCUAGUUAUAUUUUUUACUUGUUGUCUAGAAGUUUCAGUAGCUCUUCCCAAGUCUAUGGCUUUAGCUAAAGAAAGAUCAGGAUCUUGUAGCAUCCUUUCUUUUAAAGCUUUGUCUUUAAUUCCAAUUAUAAUUCUAUCUCUGACCAAGGAAUCUGCAAGCUCUCCAAAUUCGCAGUCCAUGCUUUUAUUUUUCAAUUCAGUUACAUAGUCAUCAAAAUUCUGAUUCUCCCCUUGUUCCGUUGUAAAAAACUGGUACCUCUUAUAGGUUGUGUUUUUAUAUGGUUUAAAGUGUCCAUCAAACAGUUCAAGUAUAUCCGGAACAGUCGGAGAGGCAUCAGUUUCUUGUAUUUUAAAUGUAGAGUAUAUAUCUAGGGCUAACUCACCAAUAUUAUAGAGUAGAAUAGCCCUUUGUCUUGGAAUAGAUUUUUUAUCUAUUUCUGUGGCUAUGUAAAACAUUUGGAAUCUCUUUUUCCAUUUACCCCAUGCUUCUGAUGGGUUUGUUCCAGGCACAAAUGGCUGCAAACUAUUCCCGGUACUCGAGGCCAUUUUUCAACGUGUUAGGCUUAAUUGAUAUUUGAAAUUUUACUUAUCUUUCAAAAUCCCGGCGCUGCCACCAUGUUGUAUCUUUUAUACGGGUUCAUUUACCUUUAGCUUUAUAUAUAUUUAAUAUAGUUACAGCCUUUAUGUAUAUAGACAAUUAAUAUACCGCCGUGCUAGAACAAUUAUAUAUUUAUUAUGCGGCGUUGUUUACAUACUGUGUUGCCAGAUCUUUUGUAGCACAGAUUAUAACUAUAUACAACAGUGGGUAGUUAGCGACUGCUUUUACUGUAAGUGUACCACAUGUCUACACAUGUGAAAAGCAGUUUGACUUUGCACUUACAAAUAUACCAGAGCCCUGUUUGGUUACUUGCACUCGCUGGCGGGGUUGGACUUUUGCAAGAAUCGGGGGCCAUUGGAGCAUUUUUUUUUUUUAAUUCAGAAAAAAGUGCACAAUGCGGGAAUCGAACCCGGGUCGUAGCGGUCGAAAACCAACAGUUUUGACCAUCCUUUCACCGACCCCCCUAAAAUGAUGGCAUACUUGUGUUAUGUGUUAUCAAACCCACCAAGGAAACAAGUAGAAGAACAGUUAAAGUUUGUGUAAAACAAUGUUGUCUUAUUUAAAGAAACACUCUCUCCGUGGAUAUUUUUAUAGCACAUUGAUCAUAACCACAAGGUAAAAUAAGACCAAAUUGUGCCUUGUUUUGAUGACCUAAGUAUUAAUGAUAUCAUGUCUUACAAUGAUAAUGCACAAUUUGGAUUAUAUACACAAGGUAAUAAGACCAAAUCCAAAUAAAUAAAUAGUGUGUGACGUUUCGGUAACAGUGUUGUUACCAUUUUCAGACAAAUUCAGUAUUCAUUCAGUACUUUUGUCUGUAGAUGGUAACAACGCUGUUACAGAAACAUCACACACUAUUUAUUUAUUUGGAUUUGGUCUUAUUACCUUGUGUUUGAAGUAGAAGAACAGUUAAAGUUUGUGUAAAACAAUGUCGCCUUAUUUAAAGAAACACUCUCUCCGUGGAUAUUUUUAUAGCACAUUGAUCAUAACCACCAGGUAAAAUAAGACCAAAUUGUGCCUUGUUUUGAUGACCUAAGUAUUAAUGAUAUCAUGUCUUACAUUGAUAAUGCACAAUUUGGAUUAUAGAUUAUAAACACAAGGUAAUAAGACCAAAUCCAAAUAAAUAAAUAAAUAGUGUGUGACGUUUCGGUAACAGUGUUGUUACCAUUUUCAGACAAAUUCAGUAUUCAUUCAGUACUUUUGUCUGUAGAUGGUAACAACGCUGUUACAGAAACAUCACACACUAUUUAUUUAUUUGGAUUUGGUCUUAUUACCUUGUGUUUGAAGUAGAAGAACAGUUAAAGUUUGUGUAAAACAAUGUCGCCUUAUUUAAAGAAACACUCUCUCCGUGGAUAUUUUUAUAGCACAUUGAUCAUAACCACCAGGUAAAAUAAGACCAAAUUGUGCCUUGUUUUGAUGACCUAAGUAUUAAUGAUAUCAUGUCUUACAUUGAUAAUGCACAAUUUGGAUUAUAGAUUAUAAACACAAGGUAAUAAGACCAAAUCCAAAUAAAUAAAUAAAUAGUGUGUGCCGUUUCGGUAACAGCAUUGUUACCAUUUUCAGACAAAUUAAGUAUUCAUUCAGUACUUUUGUUUGUAGAUGGUAACAACGCUGUUACAGAAACAUCACACACUAUUUAUUUAUUUGGAUUUGGACAUAUUACCUUGUGUAUAUGUCUUACAUUGGCUUAGAUUAUGUGUUCCCUAAAUGCCCCCAAUCCAACAGCUCUCCACUAUUAAGAAAAAGGUAUCUCCUUAUCGUGCAACUAAAGUUGCUGAUGGUUUGUAUCAUCUGUCGGAUUAAAUAUCAACUAAUCAUUGAUUUUUAACUAUUCCAGAAUUGGCCAAGUACCCAUUCUGAUUAACCAAGAAAAGCUAACCAUGUACACAUUUCGGGUUGUUGACCCUCAUCAGUAUGGUGCAAUCUGUACCUUAACAACCAGUAAAAUCUCUCCACUACAUUACAAGGUAAAGACAAACUUACCUUGAAAGCACUCGCCUGUUGGCCUGGCAUGACUUAAGGCACUUCUGCAACACCAUCAGCAGUGACAUAAGUCCUGGCAUACACUCUAGGGUCGCUUUCAAACAUAACUGAUACAUGAUAAGGCACAACUUGGAUUAUAAACAUAACGUCUUUUCUUCUUCUUCUUUCUUAUCUCCACUCAAUCACACUAAGGUAUCAAGCUUGUAAAGCUUGAGAUUUUUGAUGGUCUCUGCCGGGGAAGAGUAGAGCUCAUCAAUGGAUGAGUCAAUACAGUCAAACAUAACGUAAUAAGAACAAUUCCAAAUACAGUUAAAACUGUCUAUAGCACCCCUCUAAAUAGCACCCGAUUUUAAAUACGUAGUACCAAGCAAUUUACAUUAAAAGUGACCUGCCUAUAGCACCCCCUCUCUAUAGCACCCUAUUUUGAUGAGUCCCAAGAGGGGGCGACAGGUUUAACUGUAUAUAAAUAGUGUGUAUAGUUUCGGUAAGUGCAUUACAAGAAAAUAAGAUCACAAAUCCAAAUAUAUUAACAUUUAAAAUAUAUUAAUCUAUUUAUAGAUUUGGUCUUAUUUUCUUGUGUUUAUAAUCUACUAGCCGAAUGACCCGGGCAACGCCCGUGUUUUACCCAAUUGAAUGUUUUGAUUCAAAUACUAUUUGUUACAAUUAUAAAUUGGCGCCUUAAUUAAUUGCAUAUGUUAGUUAAUAACUAUAGCCUAUGUGCUUUAUCUGUCUAUGUACUGUUGGCUUCCGUAGGCGUCUCUUACUGGGAAAAAGAAAGAGAGGAUUCCAUUUGGUUAUUAUCUAAUAUAUGCAUUUAUUUAGGGAGCGACCCGCUCCAACACAAUAGUUAAAUGGCGAGUGGGGGGGGGGGGGGGGGGGGGGGGCAAAGGUGGCGUGACCGUAGCCAACCAAUAGGAGGGCGCCAUUCCAAAAAAAAGCAAACGGUGACAGAGUUGAUUGAUUAGGAGAUGAGGAAUGACGCUCGUAACUGUAUAUAGAAUAAUACAAAUUGUGUCUUAUCAGGUAAGUGCAUUGUUAUCAUCAUCAGACAAAAGUCCUGAAUGAGAAAUAUCACAGCAGGCUUUACUUGAUAACAGUAGCUAUUUUAAAAGCAUGUUGCGAUAUAUUUUCUCAUUCAGUACUUUUGUCUGAAGAUGGUAACAACGCUGUUACUGAAACCUCACACACUAUUCAUUUGGAUUUGGUCUAUUACCUUUUGUUUUAUGAUUGAUACAGUAGAACCUCUCUGUAAAGAAUGCCUAGUUGCAGAGUCAAAGUGUCCUUUAUAUAAAGGUGUCCUCUAGCACGAGUGUCCUCUCAUGGAUGUUUUAUUGUGUUAUUAUUUUUGAGACCUUUAAAAAAAUUAUUUUUUUCUUUGCUAUGAAAAAAACUGUGUGAAAUAGAAUCUUUAAUUGCUACUUAACCCUUUCUGUAGUUCUGAUAAGGCACAAUUUGGAUUAUAGAUUAUAAACACAAGGUAAUAAGUUUGGAGAUUCAGUACUUUUGUCUGAAGAUGGUAACAACGCUGUUACCAAAACGUCACACACUAUUUAUUUAUUUGGAUUUGGUCUUAUUACCUUUUGUUUUCUGUAGUUCUGUUCAUAGAACGGGCAUUCGUCUGAAUAAAUAGCAUUUAACAAGAGUGAAUGCAUACAGAACAAACAAGUAAACUUUUUUUAUUCAACCGGCUCAAAACCAACUAUAAUUCAACCAUUUUCUUGUUCAAAUCCCAAUCAGUCUAUUUACUUUUUAACUAACUCCGCCUUUGCCGGCCCCAAGCCCAGAUGAAAAAGGAGGAGGGGGAGCAGUAACAAGCUCACAAAAAACCUGGGCUCAGCUGGCCCGGCUGAUAGUACCCUGUAAGGGCUCCUAAUCCAGGGAUACAGGAUGAGCAGCGUUUGUACUCCAUGUUAGGAGCAGCUGCACAUGGCAUCUGUUCCUCAUGUAAGAGUUGGCCAUUUCUUUUGGAGCUAAGUCGGCCUU